CAUAUCAAUAAGCGGAGGAAAAGAAACUAACAAGGGAUUCCCCUAGUAACUGCGAGUGAAGCGGGAAAAGCUCAAAUUUAAAAUCUGUCAGCCUUUUGGUUGUCCGAGUUGUAAUCUAGAGAAGUGUUAUCCGCGCUGGACCGUGUACAAGUCUCCUGGAAUGGAGCGUCAUAGAGGGUGAGAAUCCCGUCUUUGACACGGACUGCCAGGGCUUUUGUGAUGCGCUCUCAAAGAGUCGAGUUGUUUGGGAAUGCAGCUCAAAAUGGGUGGUAAAUUCCAUCUAAAGCUAAAUAUUGGCGAGAGACCGAUAGCGAACAAGUACCGUGAGGGAAAGAUGAAAAGAACUUUGGAAAGAGAGUUAAACAGUACGUGAAAUUGCUGAAAGGGAAACGCUUGAAGUCAGUCGCGUUGUCCAGGGAUCAACCUUGCUUUUGCUUGGUGUACUUUCUGGUUAACGGGUCAGCAUCAAUUUUGACUGUUGGAAAAAGAUCAGGGGAAUGUGGCAUCUUAGGAUGUGUUAUAGCCCUUGGUUGUAUACAAUGGUUGGGAUUGAGGAACUCAGCACGCCGCAAGGUCGGGUAUUUAUUUAUCACGUACGUGCUUAGGAUGCUGGCAAAAUGGCUUUAAUCGACCCGUCUUGAAACACGGACCAAGGAGUCUAACAUGCCUGCGAGUAUUUGGGUGGAAAACCCGAGUGCGCAAUGAAAGUGAAAGUUGAGAUCCCUGUCGUGGGGAGCAUCGACGCCCGGACCAGACCUUUUGUGACGGUUCCGCGGUAGAGCAUGUAUGUUGGGACCCGAAAGAUGGUGAACUAUGCCUGAAUAGGGUGAAGCCAGAGGAAACUCUGGUGGAGGCUCGUAGCGAUUCUGACGUGCAAAUCGAUCGUCAAAUUUUGGGUAUAGGGGCGAAAGACUAAUCGA
Molecule: ribosomal RNA, 920 nt
Rfam family: Eukaryotic large subunit ribosomal RNA